UUAUGACCUGGGUACACACGUGUACAAUGGACAGAACAAAGGGUGGAGCCGCAAGGUUUAGCCAGUCCCACAAAUUUGGUUUCACUCGGGAUCGCGGUCUGAAACUCGACUGCGUGAAGCUGGAAUCGCUAGUAAUCGCGGAUCAGCAUGCCGCGGUGAAUACGUUCCCGGGCCUUGUACACACCGCCCGUCACACCACGAGAGUUUGCAACACCCGAAGUCGGUGAGGUAACCUUUAUGGAGCCAGCCGCCGAAGGUGGGGCAGAUGAUUGGGGGG
RNAcentral lists this ribosomal RNA (277 nucleotides) under Bacillus sp. CF. RNAcentral describes it as "partial 16S ribosomal RNA". It matches the Rfam family "Bacterial small subunit ribosomal RNA", at positions 1202 to 1482 of the family's 1533-position model. Lineage: Bacteria; Bacillati; Bacillota; Bacilli; Caryophanales; Bacillaceae. The record is from RNAcentral.